Non-coding RNA from Acanthosepion pharaonis, 85 nucleotides. NCBI's taxonomy places the organism in Eukaryota, Metazoa, Mollusca, Cephalopoda, Sepiida, Sepiidae. The record is from the annotation of a GenBank genome assembly.
ACAGAUUCCCGUAAGAACACCGAAGUUAAGCAACAUCGAGCCUGGUUGGUAUCUAGAUGAGUGGCCGCUUGGGAAAACCGGGUGU